Molecule: long non-coding RNA, 2104 nt
Organism: Cavia porcellus (domestic guinea pig)
Lineage: Eukaryota; Metazoa; Chordata; Mammalia; Rodentia; Caviidae
Exons: 4
Source: RefSeq, a predicted model, not a curated record
UGUAACAAUGAAGGUCACUGAAGAAUGCUCUUAUGCAAUUUUGUUUUAAGGCUUCAUCAAGAAUAAUUCUGAGGAUGAUCUGAGAAAGCUACAAGGUGGAGUUAAACUGGCAUCUAUUACCCAAAUUUUCCCAGUUGAAGGGGCUUAUGGGAGCAACUUGCAAGCAGAGGAAGGCAUCUUUUCUGCAUUGUUGACAACAUGGAGAUCUUGCCCAAGGCCCUAUCAAGAACACAGAAGACCUCAGAGAUGGAAAGAAGACAUUAAGUCAGAUGGGAUGAUCAGCCUGAAAGACAGACUCCAAAGAUAAGAAGUUUUCAGCACUUUGGUGGAGUGAAAUCCAAAAAUAGAUGCUACACAGAAGAUCACAACCAAAAAUAUACUUUAUCCAUAUCACUUUCUCCUUCAAGAUUCUCCUUCAACUUAGAUUUAGGCUCAUCCAUUUGGGCUCCAGAGGGGAAAAGUGACAGAUAAGUGAGUGCUCUGGCUCCUCACCCUUCUGGGACAAUGCCCAAGAAGCCCAUUUUUGUUCCUUACUCCAUGGGUAACUGAAGUCUGGCCCGGUUUAUAAUCUGGGGACUGCUAGGAACAGGGAAAGGGGUGGGGAGGGGAGCUCACAGUAACCGCCUUGCAUAUCUCAACAAAGAGCUGAAAAUCCUACUAGCAGUUUAGGGAAUUCAUCAAGAAGAUGCCCCAAUUUAGAUAGCUCAGCUAGCUAGUAAGCACUCCCAUCAUACCCCUCUCAUACAGCCAGUGACCCAUGCUCCUAUGUUCCUUCAGUCAGUAAAAGUGAACCCCUUAAAGAUAGCACACAUAUCAAAUAAUAACCUUGAACACAUCAGGGCAUGGCCAUAGGAAAAAUAAAUGGAAGGCUUUUGGCAUACAGCUCAGCUUUGUAGUUUCAAAGAAUACCCACGAUCUCAAGAUUUCCCAGAAAGAGGGAACAGAAAGAGUUUAUAGAGAUAAGGCCUAAGAGAACUCCAGAAUCUUCAGCUUCGGUUACUGAAGGGACUGUUCUUUGAAAUGCAAAGAGCAACACAAGGCUACAGAGAGCAACAAAAGGCUUCAAAGAGCACACAGAAAAAUCAAGGGAACAGGACACUGGCCAAUGAAAAAACUACAGCUACAGUGGUUGGUCCCCUCAGAAUGGAGAUCUAUGAGUGGCUCAGUAGCAGAGCACUUGCCUAGCAUGUGUGAAGCCCUGAGUUUGAUUCCUUGCCCUAGGGAAAGAAAAAAAUGAGAAGCUGCAGAUUUGUGAAUUGCCUGAGCAAGAAUGUGAAAACCAUAAUCUUAAGGAAGUACAACGAGAGCCAAGAGAACAGAUAGGAAACUAAACAAAAAUCAGAAGGCAACACGUGAACAAAAUGAAAAGUUCAAGCAACAAAAAGAUAGAAAACAUUAAAAAAAAAAAAAAACAAAUUCUGGAGCUGAAGAAUGAAAUGAUUGACAGAAAAACACUAAUAGCGCUUCCACAGCAGACUCCAUCAAGAGAAAAGAGAAUCAGUGAUGCUGCAGAGAGAGCAUUUGAAAUUGCUGGCUCAGCGAGACAAAAGAACAAAAAAUAUUUGAAGAAAUAGUGACAAAAACUUUCCAAAUCUAGGGAGCAAAACAGACAUCUAGAUCAAUGAAGCCCAAAGAAUUCCAAAAAAGUUGGUCAUAAAUACACCUUCAUGGAGAUAGAUGUACUGAAGUCAUAUUUUCAAAAACUGAUGACAAAAAGUUAAUUUUAAAAGCAGCAAGAUCAAAGUACCCCAUCAAAUACAACAGUACCCCCACACAACUCACAGUAGAUAACUUAGCAGAGGUCCGGUGGGUCAAGAGAGUGGAACAAAAUAGUCUAAAUGCCAUUCCAAAAUACAAUUACCAUCAGGACUAAUUGACCAGCAAAGCUGUCAUUCAGAAAUGAAGAAGAGACCAAAACUUUCCAAAGAAACAGAAGCUCAUACAGCUCAUUAUCACUAACCUUGUCUCUCAAGAAAUGCUAGAGUUCUUCCAGUUGAAAUGAAAGGACAGUAAUUAACAAUUUGAAGACACACGAUAGGAGAAAAAUCACUGCUAGAGAAAAGUAUGGUUGACCUUGUGUAUACACAGGUCCUACCUACGUCUA